Aricia agestis (brown argus) is the source of this 163-nucleotide long non-coding RNA. RefSeq lists it as uncharacterized. The record is from RefSeq and is a predicted model, not a curated record. Lineage: Eukaryota; Metazoa; Arthropoda; Insecta; Lepidoptera; Lycaenidae. The transcript has 3 exons.
UAACAAAUGGGUCACCUGAUGGUAAACAACUACCGUCGCCCAUGGACACUCGCAACAUCAGAAGAGCUGCAGGUGCGUUUCCGGCCUUUUAAGAGGGAAUACGCUCUUUUCUUGAAGGUGUGCAGGUCGUAUAGGGCCGGAAAAUUGCAUACCAGAAUUUAUA